UACGGGGGGAGCAAGCGUUGUUCGGAUUUACUGGGCGUAAAGGGCGCGUAGGCGGUCGUGACAAGUCACUUGUGAAAUCUCCGGGCUUAACUCGGAACGGUCAAGUGAUACUGUCGUGACUCGAGUCCGGUAGGGGAGUUCGGAAUUCCCGGUGUAGCGGUGAAAUGCGCAGAUAUCGGGAGGAACACCAGUGGCGAAGGCGGAACUCUGGGCCGGAACUGACGCUGAGGAGCGAAAGCGUGGGGAGCGAACAGG
RNAcentral lists this ribosomal RNA (255 nucleotides) under uncultured bacterium. RNAcentral's name for it is "partial 16S ribosomal RNA". It matches the Rfam family "Bacterial small subunit ribosomal RNA", at positions 524 to 776 of the family's 1533-position model. The record is from RNAcentral.